Molecule: ribosomal RNA, 551 nt
Filed under: uncultured Diversisporaceae
Lineage: Eukaryota; Fungi; Glomeromycota; Glomeromycetes; Diversisporales
Description: SSU rRNA
Rfam family: Eukaryotic small subunit ribosomal RNA
Source: RNAcentral
UUGGAGGGCAAGUCUGGUGCCAGCAGCCGCGGUAAUUCCAGCUCCAAUAGCGUAUAUUAAAGUUGUUGCAGUUAAAAAGCUCGUAGUUGAACUUCGGGGUCUACCCAUUGGUCAGGCUUAAUUGUCAGCACUGGUGAGAUGGAUCUCUACCUUCUGAGGAACUUUCAUGCCAUUUAUUUGGUGUGAUGGGAAAUCAGGACUGUUACUUUGAAAAAAUUAGAGUGUUUAAAGCAGACUAUCGUCUGAAUACAUUAGCAUGGAAUAAUGAAAUAGGACGGACUGAUUCUAUUUCGUUGGUUUCUAGGAUCACCGUAAUGAUUAAUAGGGAUAGUUGGGGGCAUUAGUAUUCAAUUGUCAGAGGUGAAAUUCUUGGAUUUAUUGAAGACUAACUACUGCGAAAGCAUUUGCUAAGGAUGUUUUCAUUAAUCAAGAACGAAAGUUAGGGGAUCGAAGACGAUCAGAUACCGUCGUAGUCUUAACCAUAAACUAUGCCGACUAGGGAUCGGACGAAGUUAAUUUUAUAAUGACGCGUUCGGCGCCUUACGGGAAAC